Molecule: non-coding RNA, 95 nt
Organism: Mycena epipterygia
Lineage: Eukaryota; Fungi; Basidiomycota; Agaricomycetes; Agaricales; Mycenaceae
Source: the annotation of a GenBank genome assembly
GACCUAGUGGCGAACGGACCGCACCCGCUCCGAAUGGUUAUCCUGCCGCGAUGCAUCUAUGGCGGAAGUUCCUGGUUCGACUCCGGGCUAGGUCA